UGGGGAAUUUUGGACAAUGGGGGAAACCCUGAUCCAGCCAUCCCGCGUGUGCGAUGAAGGCCUUCGGGUUGUAAAGCACUUUUGGCAGGAAAGAAACGUCAUGGGUUAAUACCCCGUGAAACUGACGGUACCUGCAGAAUAAGCACCGGCUAACUACGUGCCAGCAGCCGCGGUAAUACGUAGGGUGCAAGCGUUAAUCGGAAUUACUGGGCGUAAAGCGUGCGCAGGCGGUUCGGAAAGAAAGAUGUGAAAUCCCAGAGCUCAACUUUGGAACUGCAUUUUUAACUACCGGGCUAGAGUGUGUCAGAGGGAGGUGGAAUUCCGCGUGUAGCAGUGAAAUGCGUAGAUAUGCGGAGGAACACGGAUGGCGAAGGCAGCCUCCUGGGAUAACACUGACGCUCAUGCACGAAAGCGUGGGGAGCAAACAGG
This 429-nucleotide ribosomal RNA is filed under the name Acidobacteriota bacterium. RNAcentral describes it as "Acidobacteria bacterium partial 16S ribosomal RNA". It matches the Rfam family "Bacterial small subunit ribosomal RNA", at positions 355 to 776 of the family's 1533-position model. Lineage: Bacteria; Pseudomonadati; Acidobacteriota. The record is from RNAcentral.